This 253-nucleotide ribosomal RNA is filed under the name uncultured bacterium. RNAcentral's name for it is "partial 16S ribosomal RNA". It matches the Rfam family "Bacterial small subunit ribosomal RNA", at positions 524 to 776 of the family's 1533-position model. The record is from RNAcentral.
UACGAAGGGGGCUAGCGUUGCUCGGAUUUACUGGGCGUAAAGCGCACGUAGGCGGAUCGUUAAGUCAGGGGUGAAAUCCUGGAGCUCAACUCCAGAACUGCCUUCGAUACUGGCGAUCUUGAGUCCGGAAGAGGUGAGUGGAACUGCGAGUGUAGAGGUGAAAUUCGUAGAUAUUAGGAAGAACACCAGUGGCGAAGGCGGCUCACUGGUCCGAUACUGACGCUGAGGUGCGAAAGCGUGGGGAGCAAACAGG